This 119-nucleotide microRNA precursor is filed under the name Picea abies (Norway spruce). Its description in RNAcentral is "miR396h stem-loop (pab-MIR396h)". Its record names the gene pab-MIR396h. Lineage: Eukaryota; Viridiplantae; Streptophyta; Pinopsida; Pinales; Pinaceae. RNAcentral also lists the same sequence under 1 other name. The record is from miRBase by way of RNAcentral.
GAAUCUUGUCAUACUUUUCCACAGCUUUCUUGAACUUUACGUGUACGGGACGAGGAGAUUCUGAUUUCUACGUCUGCGAUUAAAGUUCAAGAAAACUGUGGGAAAGCAUGGUAGGAUUC